RNAcentral lists this ribosomal RNA (427 nucleotides) under uncultured Acidobacterium sp. Its description in RNAcentral is "bacterial SSU rRNA". It matches the Rfam family "Bacterial small subunit ribosomal RNA", at positions 958 to 1385 of the family's 1533-position model. The record is from RNAcentral. Lineage: Bacteria; Pseudomonadati; Acidobacteriota; Terriglobia; Terriglobales; Acidobacteriaceae.
AACGCGAAGAACCUUACCUGGGCUCGAAAUGGAGUGGACCGGAGUAGAAAUAUUCCUUCCCCGCAAGGGGCCGCUCUAUAGGUGCUGCAUGGCUGUCGUCAGCUCGUGUCGUGAGAUGUUGGGUUAAGUCCCGCAACGAGCGCAACCCUUAUUACCAGUUGCCAUCAUUAAGUUGGGCACUCAGGUGAGACCGCCUCGGAUAACGGGGAGGAAGGCGGGGAUGACGUCAAGUCCUCAUGGCCUUUAUGUCCAGGGCUACACACGUGCUACAAUGGCCGGUACAAACCGUCGCAAACCCGUGAGGGGGAGCUAAUCGGAAAAAGCCGGCCUCAGUUCGGAUUGGAGUCUGCAACUCGACUCCAUGAAGCUGGAAUCGCUAGUAAUCGCGGAUCAGAACGCCGCGGUGAAUACGUUCCCGGGCCUUGUA